CCUACGGGCGGCAGCAGUGAGGAAUAUUGGUCAAUGGGCUUACGCCUGAACCAGCCAAGUCGCGUGAGGGAAGACUGCCCUAUGGGUUGUAAACCUCUUUUGUCAGGGAGCAAUUGGCGCUACGUGUAGCGUUAUCGAGAGUACCUGAAGAAAAAGCAUCGGCUAACUCCGUGCCAGCAGCCGCGGUAAUACGGAGGAUGCGAGCGUUAUCCGGAUUUAUUGGGUUUAAAGGGUGCGUAGGCGGAUUGAUAAGUUAGAGGUGAAAUGUCCGAGCUUAACUCGGGAACUGCCUCUAAUACUGUUGAUCUAGAGAGUAGAUGCGGUAGGCGGAAUGUAUGGUGUAGCGGUGAAAUGCUUAGAGAUCAUACAGAACACCGAUUGCGAAGGCAGCUUACCAAUCUAUAUCUGACGUUGAGGCACGAAAGCGUGGGGAGCAAACAGGAUUAGAUACCCUUGUAGUC
This 461-nucleotide ribosomal RNA is filed under the name uncultured bacterium. RNAcentral's name for it is "partial 16S ribosomal RNA". It matches the Rfam family "Bacterial small subunit ribosomal RNA", at positions 338 to 795 of the family's 1533-position model. The record is from RNAcentral.